UACAGAGGGGGCGAGCGUUAUUCGGAAUUAUUGGGCGUAAAGGGCGCGUAGGCGGCUUUUCAAGUGACGGGUGAAAUCCCUCGGCUUAACCGGGGAACUGCGUCUGAUACUGGAUGGCUUGAGUUCGGGAGAGGGAUGCGGAAUUCCAGGUGUAGCGGUGAAAUGCGUAGAUAUCUGGAGGAACACCGGUGGCGAAGGCGGCAUCCUGGACCGACACUGACACUGAGGAGCGAAAGCCAGGGGAGCAAACGGG
Molecule: ribosomal RNA, 253 nt
Filed under: uncultured bacterium
Lineage: Bacteria
Description: partial 16S ribosomal RNA
Rfam family: Bacterial small subunit ribosomal RNA
Source: RNAcentral